RNAcentral lists this ribosomal RNA (215 nucleotides) under Glomeromycotina sp. Its description in RNAcentral is "partial small subunit ribosomal RNA". The stretch from base 84 to 215 matches the Rfam family "Eukaryotic small subunit ribosomal RNA", at positions 731 to 864 of the family's 1831-position model. The record is from RNAcentral. Lineage: Eukaryota; Fungi; Glomeromycota.
GGGUCAGUAGGCUGGUCGUGCCACCGGUACGUACUGGUCUCACUGAUUCCUCCUUCCUGAAGAACCGUAAUGCCAUUAAUUUGGUGUUGCGGGAAACAGGACUGUUACUUUGAAAAAAUUAGAGUGUUUAAAGCAAGCUAACGCUUGAAUAUGUUAGCAUGGAAUAAUGAAAUAGGACGAUCGAUCCUAUUUUGUUGGUUUCUAGGAUUGACGUA